Molecule: ribosomal RNA, 770 nt
Filed under: uncultured Microbacterium sp.
Lineage: Bacteria; Bacillati; Actinomycetota; Actinomycetes; Micrococcales; Microbacteriaceae
Description: bacterial SSU rRNA
Rfam family: Bacterial small subunit ribosomal RNA
Source: RNAcentral
GCGUAAGAGCUCGUAGGCGGUUUGUCGCGUCUGCUGUGAAAUCCCGAGGCUCAACCUCGGGCCUGCAGUGGGUACGGGCAGACUAGAGUGCGGUAGGGGAGAUUGGAAUUCCUGGUGUAGCGGUGGAAUGCGCAGAUAUCAGGAGGAACACCGAUGGCGAAGGCAGAUCUCUGGGCCGUAACUGACGCUGAGGAGCGAAAGGGUGGGGAGCAAACAGGCUUAGAUACCCUGGUAGUCCACCCCGUAAACGUUGGGAACUAGUUGUGGGGUCCAUUCCACGGAUUCCGUGACGCAGCUAACGCAUUAAGUUCCCCGCCUGGGGAGUACGGCCGCAAGGCUAAAACUCAAAGGAAUUGACGGGGACCCGCACAAGCGGCGGAGCAUGCGGAUUAAUUCGAUGCAACGCGAAGAACCUUACCAAGGCUUGACAUAUACGAGAACGGGCCAGAAAUGGUCAACUCUUUGGACACUCGUAAACAGGUGGUGCAUGGUUGUCGUCAGCUCGUGUCGUGAGAUGUUGGGUUAAGUCCCGCAACGAGCGCAACCCUCGUUCUAUGUUGCCAGCACGUAAUGGUGGGAACUCAUGGGAUACUGCCGGGGUCAACUCGGAGGAAGGUGGGGAUGACGUCAAAUCAUCAUGCCCCUUAUGUCUUGGGCUUCACGCAUGCUACAAUGGCCGGUACAAAGGGCUGCAAUACCGCGAGGUGGAGCGAAUCCCAAAAAGCCGGUCCCAGUUCGGAUUGAGGUCUGCAACUCGACCUCAUGAAGUC